UGAUAAAUCGGGGGGCGUGACAGAGGUGGUAUCAGAGCAUUAUUUGAGGAUCACUAUAAGAUAGUUGAUACAUUUGAUUUGCAAAAUUAUAUUAAGAUUUAGUAAAUUAAAUUGAAAUCGAUGAAAAUUUUCUUUGAUAUCUUUUAGGGAUCUAGGAUGCAUCUGGUCGUCUCGAGGAAUGAAGUACGAAUGGCAGUGAUGUCGAAUUUUUAAAUUUUACUAGUUGGCUUAUUGACAUUUGGGAUGGAUUUUAUGAUGUGGUUUCGUUUAGAUGAGUUGGCUUUGGAUUUUAUGAAUCUUUGAGUGUUGUGUCGUAUGAUUAUAACUACCAAGUCUUAUGAAUUGUGUAUUAUGGGUGUGAAUUAUGACUUGAAUGAUUUUUAGUGUCCUCAAAUUUAGUAUGGAUUUCGUAUUAGAUUGUUGACUGAAUUUUCAUAUUAUGGAUUUUAGGACAGGGUCACACCUCCUGAAUGUGAUAAAUCGGGGGGCGUGACAGAGGUGGUAUCAGAGCAUUAUUUGAGGAUCACUAUAAGAUAGUUGAUACAUUUGAUUUGCAAAAUUAUAUUGAGAUUUAGUAAAUUACAUAGAAAUAGAUGAAAAAUUUCUUUGAUAUCUUUUAGGGAUCUAGGAUGCAUCUGGUCGUCUUGAGGAAUGAAGUACGAUUGGCAGGGAAGUCGAAUUUUUAAAUUUUAGAGGAUGGCUUAUUGACAUUUGUGAUGGAUUUUAUGAUGUAGUUUCGUUUAGGUGAGUUGACUUUGGAUUUUAUGAAUCUUUGAGUGUUGUGUCGUAUGAUUAUAACUGCCAAGUCUUAUGUAUUGUAGGAUUAUGGUUGUGAAUUAUGACUUGAAUGAUUUUUAGUGUCCUCAAAUUUAGUUAGGAUUUCGUAUUAGAUUGUUGACUGAAUUUUAAUAAUAUGGAUUUUAAGACAGGGUCAAAUCUCGUGAAUGUGAUAAAUCGGGUGGCGUGACAGAGGUGGUAUCAGAGCAUUAUUUGAGGAUCACUAUAAGAUAGUAAAUACAUUUGAUUUGCUAAAUUAUAUUGAGAUUUAGUAAAUUAUAUAGAAAUCGUUGAAAAUUUUGUUUGAUAUCUUUUAGGGAUCUAGGAUGCAUCUGGUCGUCUCGAGGAAUGAAGUACGAAUGGCAGUGAUGUCGAAUUUUAAAAUUUUAGAGGAUGGCUUAUUGACAUUUGGGAUGGAUUUUAUGAUGUGGUUUCGUUUAGAUGAGUUGGCUUUGGAUUUUAUGAAUCUUUGAGUGUUGUGUCGUAUGAUUAUAACUACCAAGUCUUAUGAAUUGUGGAUUAUGGGUGUGAAUUAUGACUUAAAUGAUUUUUAGUGUCCUCAAAUUUAUAUGGAUUUCGUAUUA
RNAcentral lists this long non-coding RNA (1361 nucleotides) under Musa acuminata (dwarf banana). RNAcentral describes it as "long non-coding RNA (MACU_LNC010611)". Lineage: Eukaryota; Viridiplantae; Streptophyta; Magnoliopsida; Zingiberales; Musaceae. The record is from RNAcentral.